Molecule: transfer RNA, 72 nt
Filed under: Caenorhabditis remanei
Lineage: Eukaryota; Metazoa; Nematoda; Chromadorea; Rhabditida; Rhabditidae
Rfam family: tRNA
About the family: Transfer RNA (tRNA) molecules are approximately 80 nucleotides in length. Their secondary structure includes four short double-helical elements and three loops (D, anti-codon, and T loops).
Source: Rfam by way of RNAcentral
GCGUUGGGGGGGUAAAGGUCAGCAUGGACGCCUUCCAAGCAUUCGACGGGGGUUCGAUUCCCCCCGAACGCA